RNAcentral lists this unclassified non-coding RNA (173 nucleotides) under fungal sp. RNAcentral's name for it is "partial internal transcribed spacer region". The stretch from base 1 to 46 matches the Rfam family "Eukaryotic small subunit ribosomal RNA", at positions 1786 to 1831 of the family's 1831-position model. The record is from RNAcentral. RNAcentral also lists the same sequence under 1 other name. Lineage: Eukaryota; Fungi.
AAGUCGUAACAAGGUUUCCGUAGGUGAACCUGCGGAAGGAUCAUUAACAAAUCACGGCCUUUUUAGGCCAUUGACGCCUGGCUUUUACGGCCAGGACAUUUCUGCUUGUAUGUUUGACUGAACUGAAAUAAUAUAUAUUUAUACAACUUUUAACAAUGGAUCUCUUGGCUCUU